This 500-nucleotide ribosomal RNA is filed under the name uncultured Glomeromycotina. Its description in RNAcentral is "partial small subunit ribosomal RNA". It matches the Rfam family "Eukaryotic small subunit ribosomal RNA", at positions 591 to 1091 of the family's 1831-position model. Lineage: Eukaryota; Fungi; Glomeromycota. The record is from RNAcentral.
CCAAUAGCGUAUAUUAAAGUUGUUGCAGUUAAAAAGCUCGUAGUUGAAUUUCGGGAUCAAUGUUUCGGUCAUGCCGUUGGUAUGUACUGAUAUUAUUGGUUUCUCACCUUCUAAAGAACCGUAAUGCCAUUAAUUUGGUGUCACGGGGAAUUAGGACUGUUACCUUGAAAAAAUUAGAGUGUUUAAAGCAGGCUCACGCUUGAAUACAUUAGCAUGGAAUAAUGAAAUAGGACAUCCGAUUCUAUUUUGUUGGUUUCUAGGAUCGAUGUAAUGAUUAAUAGGGAUAGUUGGGGGCAUUAGUAUUCAAUUGUCAGAGGUGAACUUCUUGGAUUUAUUGAAGACUAACUACUGCGAAAGCAUUUGCCAAGGAUGUUUUCAUUAAUCAAGAACGAAAGUUAGGGGAUCGAAGACGAUCAGAUACCGUCGUAGUCUUAACCAUAAACUAUGCCGACUAGGGAUCGGAUGAUGUUAAUUUUUUAAUGACUCAUUCGGCGCCUUAC